GAUGAACGCUGGCGGCGUGCCUAAUACAUGCAAGUCGAGCGAACAGACGAGGAGCUUGCUCCUCUGACGUUAGCGGCGGACGGGUGAGUAACACGUGGAUAACCUACCUAUAAGACUGGGAUAACUUCGGGAAACCGGAGCUAAUACCGGAUAAUAUAUUGAACCGCAUGGUUCAAUAGUGAAAGACGGUUUUGCUGUCACUUAUAGAUUGAUCCGCGCCGCAUUAUCUAGUUGGUAAGGUAACGGCUUACCAAGGCGACGAUGCGUAGCCGACCUGAGAGGGUGAUCGGCCACACUGGAACUGAGACACGGUCAAGACUCCUACGGGAGGCAGCAGUAGGGAAUAUUCCGCAAUGGGCGAAAGCAUGACGGAGCAAAGCCGCGUGAGUGAUGAAGGUCUUCGGAUCGUAAAACUCUGUUAUUAGGGAAGAACAAAUGUGUAAGUAACUAUGCACGUCUUGACGGUACCUAAUCAGAAAGCCACGGCUAACUACGUG
Molecule: ribosomal RNA, 497 nt
Filed under: uncultured bacterium
Lineage: Bacteria
Description: partial 16S ribosomal RNA
Rfam family: Bacterial small subunit ribosomal RNA
Source: RNAcentral